Molecule: ribosomal RNA, 253 nt
Filed under: uncultured bacterium
Lineage: Bacteria
Description: partial 16S ribosomal RNA
Rfam family: Bacterial small subunit ribosomal RNA
Source: RNAcentral
GACAGAGGGUGCAAACGUUGCUCGGAAUCACUGGGCGUAAAGGGCGUGUAGGCGGGAAGGGAAGUCGGGCGUGAAAUGCCGGGGCUCAACCCCGGGACUGCGUCCGAUACUUCCGAGCUGGAGGUAGGUAGGGGAGAUCGGAAUUCCUGGUGUAGCGGUGAAAUGCGCAGAUAUCAGGAGGAACACCGGUGGCGAAGGCGGAUCUCUGGGCCUUACCUGACGCUGAGGCGCGAAAGCUAGGGGAGCGAACAGG